RNAcentral lists this unclassified non-coding RNA (4222 nucleotides) under Hevea brasiliensis (rubber tree). Lineage: Eukaryota; Viridiplantae; Streptophyta; Magnoliopsida; Malpighiales; Euphorbiaceae. The record is from RNAcentral.
CUCAAUACCUGUUUUACGCCUCCGUUUAUAUAUGCACGAAAAACAUUACCAUUACCAACAAUAUGGGUUGCAAUAGUAAACCAAAACCGCACGUGUAAAAGAGAAAAAUGAAAAAUAUAACCUGGUUUCUGGAUUGCUAAAAAAAUUUCAACCACAUUCACAUUAUUUCCGAAAUUUUCUUAGCUAUCAUUUCACCAUGUUUGAUGAAAAAUCGUACCUCUCAAAAUUAGGAGCCUUGAAAUUUAUAAAAUCGUUAGCAAAAACAAAGUAAGACCUGCAGACAAACGCAAUGUAUGAAAACAUUUCUAACAAUAUUGGUUUCAAUAGUUAAACAUGCAUUAUAAACAAAACCCUGGUUUACAAAUUCCUAAAAAAAAAAAAUGAACUGCAUUACACCUUAUUUAUCGAAAAAUCAUACCUCUAAAAAUUAGGAGCCUUGAAAUUUACAAAAUCAUUAGCAAAAACAGAGUAAGACCUGCAGCCAAACCCAAUGCCUUUUGAGGGGAUCCUACUGUAUGUUCAGUGCCUCCGUAAUACGGUUCAAUCAUUAUCUCAAAUCUGCAAGUUCCAGUUGAUGGAUCAGAUUUGGUAAUCAUUGAAAUGUUUUCAAACUUGCAUGCACUAUCAAGCUGAUUCUGCCUCUGAUAGUAACUGUUCAAUGCAUAUGAAAUGUUCCCCUUAACAUCCAAACCUCCACAAGAAGUCCCAUAACCAAGGCUGGUGCAGUCAGCAAGUCCACAAGCAUAGCUCACACUAGGUGCCACAUUUGGGUCAUCAAUAUUGGCUGAUGACUUCAUCACACACCAUUUACCCUCCAGGUAACGGACAUUUUUUGCUUCAAUUAAAGCUAUUGAAUUUGUGGUACCAAGGUUAAGGGAGUACUUGGCUUUUCCAUCAUAUGUAAAUAUCCCCCAAUGGCGUUCGAAGUUCCCCGGAUCAAUGCUCUUAGCAUCCUCAUCAAUCAAACUAAAUAAAUACGCAUCAAUAGGUCCAGGCCUCAUUGGGGUUCCUUUCCCACCCGAAAUAUGUGACAUAAAACCUUGGUUGAAUCGUUGGGCAUAAUUUAUGUUAGCAUUUCUAUCUCCAUCAGUAGGCCACCCAAUCUCUCCAACAAUUAUAGGCAGGUUUCCAAAUCCAUUCUUUUGCAAGGAAUACACAAGAGUAUCAUAAUUAGCAUCAAACAUGUUGUAGUAAGAUGUCCCACCAUCAUUCAGAGGGGUUGCAUUUCCAUCAAAGAAGGCAUACUCCACUGGAAAGUUCGGAUCAGAAUAUAGGCUUAUGAAAGGAUAGAUAUUCACAGUAAAGGGGGAACCACUGUCACUCAAGAACUUGACAAUGGUAAGCAUGAGAUCAUGGAUAUCAGCUCGAAAGUCACCACCAGAUGGAACGCCAGUUGAGGUCCCAUAGACAUCGGCAUUCAGGGGGACAGUCACCCUUACUUGGUUGCUCAGCCCAGCUUUUACAAGGGCAGAUUGGACAUUCUGGAGAGCUGGGAAGGUCGUUUUGAGAAAGCUGCCAUUGUAUGUUUGCAAGAAAGGUUCAUUUCCAACUGCAACAUAUCUGAUAUUGACAUUAUCAGCAGAGAUAUGCGUAGAGACGUUUUUGGAAACCCAUUUCUCAGCAGCCUUCAUACUGGUAGCCAGAGAUAAAAGCAUGUCAUUUGGGAUUCCCACCAUGACCUCAAUAUUAGACUUACCAAGGGCUCUCAGUGUAUCAUAAUCUGCAUCAAAAAGCUUAACUUUUUGGAUUCCAUUUUCCCUCAGUAGCCUCACCAUAGUUUCUGGGGGCAGUGGAUGGGUUGCUUGUGUGCCCCAGUUGGCACCUAUUCCACUCACUGUACUCGCUACAGAAAGUAAUGAUAUUAAUGCAACAGCCACAGAGAACCGCCUCAUCUUUAUUCUCUUCAAAUCUGCUAGCCAGCUUCUACGCUACAGCCCACUGGAACUGACUAGAAUCUUAAACCAGCACUUGUUUUGAUGGGUUUUGGAGCACAGAUUUAUGAGACAGAAACAAGCAAGUAAAAAAUGGAAUCCUUUUUAUUUUUCUCUUUUGGUUCUAAAACCAAAUUUAGAGAAUUCCAAACACACCAGAGAGUAGGAAUUGGGAGCACAAAUGUAGCUAUGAAGAUAAAAAGAGGUGAAGCAAGUAACUAGAGAGGGAAGAGCUGAUCCAAGAACAAUAAGUAGAAAGAAACUGAUUUAUAAAGCAAAAUUUUCACAUCAGAAAUUGCAAAAUUUUCACAAUAACAUGGUUCCAGAAAUUUAAAAAAAAAAUAAGGGGAAAAAGGGUGACUGAGUAAAGUAAAGAAAUCCCAGAAAGAAAUAGUUACAGCUCAAUAUUAGACCAAAAUCUCAGAAAAGAUUCCUGAAAAUAGAGGUGGAAAACAGAAUAAAAUAUAAUACAUCAGAAAUUUCUCAUAAAGUUCUUCAAGUUGUUGAGAAACAACAGAUGGGUUAACUAAAUGAGUAAUCUGGAACUAGAGACAUGCCAACAGAAAGCAGAACUACAAAAAAAAAAUGAAGGGAAAGAAAGAGAGAGAAAGAGAGUAGGGAUCUAAACUCUCCAAGCUUCAAGGGAUGGCAACGACGUCGCCUCGGUCAGAAUCAUCAUCGUCGACGAAAAAGGAGGGAUUGGGGUGGAUAGAGUGGCUAAGGGGAUGGACGUAUGUGAUACACGAGAUGCUGUUUCAGAGAAUCAUGGCUAGUCACUUGGAAAACCCUCUUCCUUUGCCUCCCGUCAAUGACCUCACUUGCAUUGUUACUGGAUCCACCAGCGGCAUCGGCUCUGAAAUCGCCAGGCAAUUGGCAGAGUCAGGGGCUCAUGUUGUUAUGGCAGUGAGGAAUCCAAAGUUAGCCCAUGAACUGAUCCAGAAAUGGCAGAAUGAAUGGUCUGGAGUGGGCCUCCCUCUCAAUGUUGAGGUGAUGGAACUUGAUCUUCUGUCCUUGGAAUCGGUUGUGAAGUUUGCUGAAGCAUGGAAUGCGUGUUCAGGACCUUUGCAUGUUCUUAUUAAUAAUGCUGGGAUAUUUUCCAUUGGAGAACCACAAAAGUUUUCAAAAGAUGGGUAUGAAGAACACAUGCAAGUGAAUCAUCUAGCUCCGGCAUUGCUUACGAUAUUGCUUUUGCCAUCCCUAAUUAGAGGCUCUCCCAGCCGAAUUAUCAAUGUGAAUUCAGUUAUGCAUUAUGUUGGCUUUGUUGACACUGAAGACAUGAAUGUUGUUUCUGGGAAGCGAAAGUAUACAAGCUUAGUGGGAUAUGCUAGCAGCAAGUUGGCACAGGUCAUGUUUAGUAGUGUUCUUCAGAGGCGCCUUCCUGCAGAAUCUGGCAUUAGUGUAGUUUGUGUAUCACCUGGAGUUGUCCAUACAAAUGUUGCAAGGGAUCUUUCCAGAUUCGUGCAAGCAGCUUAUCACUUAAUACCCUAUUUUAUCUUUAGUGCUCAAGAAGGUGAGUAUCCCAAUGGCUUGUACACUGUUUCUUCCCAAUUCGUUGGUGAUGAUGAUGACUGCUUUGGCAUUGGAUAUUAAUAGGAAGAAACAAAAUGAGCUGUCUUGCUAUGAUAUUUUAAGAACAACCUGCCUUCAAAUCUGCUGUGAAAAAAAAAAUACCUACAAAUCCGCCGUGGAAAAAAACUAUUGUUUACUUCUAUAAGAUGAGAAGUUUGAGCUAACCUUUUUUGACUUGCCACUAAUUCAGGUUCAAGGAGUGCUCUCUUUUCAGCCACCGAUCCUCAGAUUCCAGAAUACUGUGAUUUGUUAAAAUCAGACGACUGGCCUGUAUGUGCAUUCAUCUCUCAAGAUUGUCGACCAGCAAAUCCUUCCGAAGAAGCACACAGCAUCGAGACUUCUCAUAAAUUGUGGGAGAAGACAUUGGAGAUGAUUGGUCUUCCUGCAGAUGCAGUGGAAAGAUUAAUAGAAGGGGAAGAAAUUACAUGCCGCUAUGGGAAUCAUCAGUAGUAUUAUUUGUUGCCAUGACACAAGAAAUUACUAGUUCUUACCAGGUAGUCAACACGGAAUGGUCCCAAAGUAUCAUUUGGAGCGCUUUUUAACAUUAAUUACAAAGUACUAUUUUGUAAUUUAAGUUGAAUUACUUAAUUGUGGUGGCAAUAUGGUAGUAGGCUUGCUUAUGCAAUGCAAUGGUCCCAACAUUUGUAAGCUUCUAACUUUUCAUUGUACCCUAAGCAUGAAAAUUAUUAUAAAUUAAUACUAUCAGAAGCCUUUUUUUUUUU